This 251-nucleotide ribosomal RNA is filed under the name uncultured bacterium. Its description in RNAcentral is "partial 16S ribosomal RNA". It matches the Rfam family "Bacterial small subunit ribosomal RNA", at positions 524 to 776 of the family's 1533-position model. The record is from RNAcentral.
GACAGGGGGGGCAGGCGUUAUUCUUCAUUAAUUAGCGUAAAGGGUCACGUCGACUCCUUUUUUAAUUUUUUGUAAAAAACUAAUGAUAUGAUUAGGAAGCAAAUUUAAAAUCAAAGGUUGAGUUAACUCGAAGUUAUUGAAAUUUUUAGUGUAACGGUGAAGUGUGCGCAAUCUAAAAGGAAUUCCAUAGGCGAAGGCUUUUAACUAGUUUUAACUGACGUUGAGGUACUAAGGUAUGGGGAGCAAAUGGG